This 451-nucleotide ribosomal RNA is filed under the name uncultured bacterium. RNAcentral describes it as "bacterial SSU rRNA". It matches the Rfam family "Bacterial small subunit ribosomal RNA", at positions 96 to 562 of the family's 1533-position model. The record is from RNAcentral.
CGGCGGACGGGUGAGUAACGCGUGGGUAACCUGCCUUACACAGGGGGAUAACACUGGGAAACCAGUGCUAAUACCGCAUAACAUCAUUUUAUGGCAUCAUGAAAUGAUCAAAGGAGAAAUCCGGUGUAAGAUGGGCCCGCGUCCGAUUAGCUAGUUGGUGAGGUAAUGGCUCACCAAGGCAGCGAUCGGUAGCCGGACUGAGAGGUUGGCCGGCCACAUUGGGACUGAGACACGGCCCAGACUCCUACGGGAGGCAGCAGUGGGGAAUAUUGCGCAAUGGGGGGAACCCUGACGCAGCGACGCCGCGUGAAGGAAGAAGGCCUUCGGGUUGUAAACUUCUUUGAUUGGGGAAGAAAAAUGACGGUACCCAAAGAACAAGCCACGGCUAACUACGUGCCAGCAGCCGCGGUAAUACGUAGGUGGCGAGCGUUAUCCGGAAUUACUGGGUGUA